GGAGGGAUGGCCGAGCGGACGAAGGCGCGGCACUCGAAAUGCCGUGAGGCGGUUUCCGUCUCCGUGGGUUCGAAUCCCACUCCCUCCG
RNAcentral lists this transfer RNA (88 nucleotides) under Acidimicrobiia bacterium. Its description in RNAcentral is "tRNA-Ser". It matches the Rfam family "tRNA". Rfam says of the family: Transfer RNA (tRNA) molecules are approximately 80 nucleotides in length. Their secondary structure includes four short double-helical elements and three loops (D, anti-codon, and T loops). Further hydrogen bonds mediate the characteristic L-shaped molecular structure. tRNAs have two regions of fundamental functional importance: the anti-codon, which is responsible for specific mRNA codon recognition, and the 3' end, to which the tRNAs corresponding amino acid is attached (by aminoacyl-tRNA synthetases). tRNAs cope with the degeneracy of the genetic code in two manners: having more than one tRNA (with a specific anti-codon) for a particular amino acid; and 'wobble' base-pairing, i.e. permitting non-standard base-pairing at the 3rd anti-codon position. RNAcentral also lists the same sequence under 1 other name. The record is from RNAcentral. Lineage: Bacteria; Bacillati; Actinomycetota; Acidimicrobiia.